UACGAAGGUCCCAAGCGUUAUCCGGAUUUAUUGGGUUUAAAGGGUGCGUAGGAGGGCAGGUAAGUCAGUGGUGAAAUCUCCGAGCUUAACUUGGAAACUGCCGUUGAUACUAUCUGUCUUGAAUAUUGUGGAGGUGAGCGGAAUAUGUCAUGUAGCGGUGAAAUGCUUAGAUAUGACAUAGAACACCAAUUGCGAAGGCAGCUCGCUACACAUAUAUUGACUCUGAGGCACGAAAGCGUGGGGAUCAAACAGG
Molecule: ribosomal RNA, 253 nt
Filed under: uncultured bacterium
Lineage: Bacteria
Description: partial 16S ribosomal RNA
Rfam family: Bacterial small subunit ribosomal RNA
Source: RNAcentral